This 852-nucleotide long non-coding RNA is filed under the name Marmota monax (woodchuck). The record is from RNAcentral. Lineage: Eukaryota; Metazoa; Chordata; Mammalia; Rodentia; Sciuridae.
GACCUCUGGAGGCUUGCCUGUCACCUCUCCGGAGUCAGCCCGGACAGUCCGUUAGCCGCGCAGCCCGGGCUUGCCCUCGACGGGUCCUUAAGAUGGGGGCACUCGUCACCUCGCCCAAGGCGCGUCCUCGCUCUAAGGGCCCCGGUAUGGGGGACAGCCUAGCCUCCGAGGCGGACGCCUCCGUGAGUGGCAGCUGCGUUGUGACCUCCGGACAGCAACCCCAGCGGUCCGCGAAACCCUUUCGCUCCCUGAGCCCCCUUGGUCAGUGGCAGUAGGGACACCUGCCAUCGGGGAUGAAAUGACCCCAGCUGGUAAGUGGCGAUGUUGCCAAAGACAUUGAUAGGAUGGAAUAGCGCGUUCACUUAGUAGAGAGAAGUUCCCCGUGUGCAGGGCCACUAGACAGUUUUCUGAAAAUUGUGAAGCUGCCUUAUGGGAUUGGGGGUCGGGGUAAACCUAGGCAGUCCCAAGACCUGAGAAAUGUUUACUUUCCAGGACACGGAAUAUCUCAGAUAUCUGAAUCCCUGUCUACACUCCUGAUGAGCUGUGUGAUCUUGAACAAAUUUCCAUCUGCCCUGCUUAUCUUGCACUAAAUGGGGUGAACAUUAAAUAUUAAAAGAGCUAUGAAAUUAAACUAGCAAUACAGGAAAUAUUCGGGUGUCUAGCCCCUGUGCCCCAGAAAGGAUAAAGAAGCCAGAUCACUCUUUGGAACCACUUUUUCUGCAUGCACUUAAACAGUGAGGAAUUGCAACCAAAGUAAAGGUUGUUUUACCAGUUGAACAUUGUGGAAUAGUCCCUGAUCCCCCUGAGUUUUUUUUUUUUUUUAUGAAAAUUGCUUACAGUAAAAAAAAAAAA